AUGGGACACAAAGAAAAUAAACAAAGCGAGCUGGAACCGAAGCCGCGCGUCUCAAUAGAGCUGCCAGGUUCCCUUUCAAAACAUCAAACGAAAUGUCAAACUAAACUUCUUAAGAAAUCGCUGAGUGUGGUGCAAUCAUCAUGCUGGCAAUUAAUUAUAAAAGACAACCAGGACUCAAGCAGGAGCGGUCACACUUCAACAGCUGAAAGUUACCCUGUUACCAGUGAUGAAACACCAACCAUGCAUUUCUCACCAAACAGAUUUAAUGGGUACUCUGGUGUGGAAAAAUGUAAUAUCCAGAUUUCUGUCAUGAUUUGA
RNAcentral lists this long non-coding RNA (318 nucleotides) under Carassius auratus (goldfish). RNAcentral describes it as "lncRNA (ENSCARG00000061370.1)". The record is from RNAcentral. Lineage: Eukaryota; Metazoa; Chordata; Actinopteri; Cypriniformes; Cyprinidae.